UGGUGGAAAGAACAAAGAUGCAGCCCUCACAGGCUGUGUUGUGCAGCAGUGCACAACACGUUUCCAAUAAAAACCUGUAAUGACUUAAAACUAACAGACUUGUCUGAAUUUUUGCUGCCCGUCUCUCCUCCUAGGAGUCUCAGCAGUCUUCUACCAUCUUUCUUUGGCUAAGGCACAUAGGUAAAGUGAUACUCCAAAUGUGUGCCUAACAAAUACUGAUGUGGAGGUUUAAAGCAUUUUUUGUAAGCUGUCCGAACGCUUUCCUUUACUGUCCUUCUUCACAUUUAGAAGACCCCAAUCUUCACUCUUUGCAGGCAUCCUUUGUCUCUGGUAUUGGUGACCGCGGUCAGGACACCAGCUGUGCCCAAGGACAAGCUGGAAGGGAAGCACACUUCUGGAGCAGGCUGGUGACACAAGCGGAGUCUCAGCCUUCUGCUGCGAUGCAGCAGAUUGAACGUUUCAUUCAUGCAAAUGCACAUUUCCUGGCAGUGCCGGGGCUGGCCUGGAAUCCAGACCUGGUCUGCUCAAGAGCAAGGUCAAUUUGUGGACUUCCCUCCUUCAAGAUGCUAUCAGGACAAGGCGUGAAGUUGGAUGCCUAAAACAGAUUAAGAAGAUUUUCUCAACACUGGUACCCAAGUAAGUGCUGUGAGUAAUUUGCAAGCUAGAGAAAGUGAGCCAAAAAUCACAUUUUGAGUCGGAAAGGAUGCUGGAGCAGAAUUAUGUAAAACUCUGUCUCAGACGGUAACAGAGUUUUGACAAGUGNNNNNNNNNNNNNNNNNNNNUUCUAGUCUGGUAAGAGAUCUUACAAAGAUAAUGCUGGUAUUAAUUCUAAUGAGCAAAUAUGUCUUUAUGCAGAGCAAGGUCAAUUUGUGGACUUCCCUCCUUCAAGAUGCUAUCAGGACAAGGCGUGAAGUUGGAUGCCUAAAACAGAUUAAGAAGAUUUUCUCAACACUGGUACCCAAGUAAGUGCUGUGAGUAAUUUGCAAGCUAGAGAAAGUGAGCCAAAAAUCACAUUUUGAGUCGGAAAGGAUGCUGGAGCAGAAUUAUGUAAAACUCUGUCUCAGACGGUAACAGAGUUUUGACAAGUGCAUUUUGUGACACGGCCCUGCUGAGCGUGAGCCAGCACGGAGGCAGGAGCCGGGCAGGUGAGCUACUGUGUUGCGUGAAAGCCCAUAUUGACAGCGGUGCUCAUGUACAGGCUGUAGGGCUUCACGUGAAAGAAGUUUCCUACCUAGUAGAACGCAGCGCUUGGUAUUUUCAGUUAAACAGAAUUAAGGAUGGUCCCAGUGACAAGGAUCAUAAGCUGCCGG
Molecule: long non-coding RNA, 1310 nt
Filed under: Anser cygnoides (Swan goose)
Lineage: Eukaryota; Metazoa; Chordata; Aves; Anseriformes; Anatidae
Description: lncRNA (ENSACDG00005008606.1)
Source: RNAcentral